Molecule: ribosomal RNA, 272 nt
Filed under: uncultured bacterium
Lineage: Bacteria
Description: partial 16S ribosomal RNA
Rfam family: Bacterial small subunit ribosomal RNA
Source: RNAcentral
GUCCUCUUACGGGACGCAGCAGUGGGGAAUAUUGGGCAAUGGGCGCAAGCCUGACCCAGCAACGCCGCGUGAAGGAAGAAGGCUUUCGGGUUGUAAACUUCUUUUCUCAGGGACGAAGCAAGUGACGGUACCUGAGGAAUAAGCCACGGCUAACUACGUGCCAGCAGCCGCGGUAAUACGUAGGUGGCAAGCGUUAUCCGGAUUUCCUGGGUGUAAAGGGCGUGUAGGCGGGGGCGCACGUCAGAUGUGAAAAACACGGGCUCAACCUGUGG